This 2041-nucleotide long non-coding RNA is filed under the name Heterocephalus glaber (naked mole-rat). RNAcentral describes it as "lncRNA (ENSHGLG00000030225.2)". Lineage: Eukaryota; Metazoa; Chordata; Mammalia; Rodentia; Bathyergidae. The record is from RNAcentral.
GGCAGAGAUCAGGGAGGGCCUGAGCCCAUUAUUAACCCCCAAGCACCCUAUCCCCAGUAAGAUGUGCCGAACACAGCUAACCCUCCUGAAGAGUCCCCAGUUUCAGCCAUUUUUUCAGAGACACAACAGCUAUCAAAUCCCUCGUGUCACCCUGAGCUCUCAUGGAACUGCCAUGAUGGCUGUGGCUGUCCUGGAUGCCCUACACCUGCUUGGACCAAUCACAGGCCUAUACGUGGACCAAUCACAGGAUUGCAGCUGUUGCUGUGUUUCCCCCCAAAUAAGACCUAACCGGAAAAUAAUCAGCCUUGAAAACUGGAGCCCAAGAAUGGCAGCCUCAAUCACCUUGCCUUACCUGCCACUACAGAGCAGCCACUGAGCAAGAGAGUAGUGAUGUGCAGUCUUCUCCAUGACACUGGCCAUCACCAUGAUGCCGACAGAUGGAAUGAGGGUUGUCUCCGGCCUGCACAAGCCUUGGAUCCUGCAUCAGGAUCCAGCCAAGGAUCAUAUGUCCCAUUCAGCUGCCACGUUUCCUGGUCUCCUUCACCUUCACAGUGCUGGCCCUUUUCAGCAAUCCCAGGCACCUGCUCUGGCUGUUUGCUCUUUAACAGAUCCAGUUAGACGCCGGUCAUCCCUUCCUGGUACACAGAUGAUUCAUUCGACGAUCACUCCCCAAUCUGUAACUCUAGCUCCAAUGAUGAUCUCGUCACCACUUCUGAAGUCCUCCCAGCACCCUGCCUGUACGGCAGUGUCCCCUGCCAGCCUCAACAAACAUCUGCUUGCUCCAGUAUCUCCCAGUCUCCCCUGCAGGUGGAUAGAAGCCAUGAGCCUGGGCUGUGGCCAAUGGGGUGUGAGUGACAGAGUGACUUCCAGGUCCUAUCCUUACAAAACUUCCUAGGAUUCUCGGCUCCUGUCAUGUGACCCUAGUGCCACAUGUUCUAGAUGGCAAAGUUAUAGAAAGGAGGAGGUCACCGGACUCUUCAUUGCAGUGAACUUUGAAUGAGGGAAGUGAUGUUCCUUGGGGCAUACAGAGACUUGGGAUCAUCUGUUGCUGCACUGCAUCCUGGCCUGUGCUGACCAACACCACCAGGACAUCAUAUGAUAACUCAGCGGCUGUGGUCAAGGUUGCAUCUGGCACCUUCUCUUCAGAUGUGUUCCCUUCCUGGCCUCACUGUCCCCAAACACCUCAAGGUCUCCAGACUGCUCCUUCCUUCUCACACUGCACCACUGGGGUUCCAGGUCCUCCCCUCCACCUGCCUCCACUCCUGGACCAACACUCUGGCUUCCAAGGUGGUCUCUCCCUCCAGCCUUUAGAAGCUGCCAGAACUUUCUGGAACACAACUUUGACUGUGUCAUUCCUUUUCUUGAAAAUCCUAGGAGGUUCUCCUCCAGCUUGGAAUAAAGUACAAACACUUCAAUACCUGAAUUCAUUAGCUUUUUGUCACUGGGACAAAAUACUUGCCAUAUACAACUCAAAGGAGGAGUAGUUUAUUUGGCUCACAGUUUCUGACUGUUGGUCCAUGGUCAACUGGCUCCAAAGUAGAAACAUCAUGGCGGAAGGGUGUGGAGGAGGACAGCUGCUCACCUCAUGGCAGCCAAGAAGCAGAGAAGGACAGAGCCAGGGAGAGAGGAAGGGGCUGGAAACAGGAUACACUCUUCAAGGGCACACUCUGGUGACCCACUUCCUCUAUUGGGGCCCCACUCAGAACAUUCAGCUGCGCAUUCACCAAUGGAUUAAUCCACUGGGGCCGGGGUCCUCAGGACCCAGUCAACUCCAGGCUCCACCUCCAUUCACUGCAGGGGUUCAGCCCUCAGUGGAUGAGUCUUUGUGGGGCAUGUCAUAUUUAAACCAUAACAGAACCUGAGACCUGCAGGCUCUGGACCCUGCCUUUCCCUCCAGCUGCAUAGCCACUGCUCUGUCCUCUACCUAGCAGGCUGUUCGCUGCUCCCUGUGGGGCUACCAACCUCUAUGUCUCUGUCCCUCUCUGUUUUCCGGAGACCAGGUCCUGACUCAUCACUCCUGGCCUGCCUGGAUGUACUUUUC